AACGAACGCUGGCGGCAUGCCUAACACAUGCAAGUCGAACGAGACCUUCGGGUCUGGUGGCGCACGGGUGCGUAACGCGUGGGAACCUGCCCUUAGGUUCGGAAUAACUCCCCGAAAGGGGUGCUAAUACCGGCUAAUGUCUUCGGACCAAAGAUUUGUCGCCUUUGGAUGGGCCCGCGUUGGAUUAGCUAGUUGGUAGGGUAAAAGCCUACCAAGGCGACGAUCCAUAGCUGGUCUGAGAGGAAGAUCAGCCACACUGGGACUGAGACACGGCCCAGAAUCCUACGGGAGGCAGCAGUGGGGAAUAUUGGACAAUGGGCGAAAGCCUGAACCAGCAAGGACGCGUAAGUGAUGAAGGCCGUAGGGUUGUAAAGCUCUUUUAUCCGGGAUUAUAAUGACAGUACCGGGAGAAUAAGCACCGGCUAACUCCGUG
This 433-nucleotide ribosomal RNA is filed under the name uncultured bacterium. Its description in RNAcentral is "partial 16S ribosomal RNA". It matches the Rfam family "Bacterial small subunit ribosomal RNA", at positions 29 to 507 of the family's 1533-position model. The record is from RNAcentral.